This 254-nucleotide ribosomal RNA is filed under the name uncultured bacterium. RNAcentral's name for it is "partial 16S ribosomal RNA". It matches the Rfam family "Bacterial small subunit ribosomal RNA", at positions 524 to 776 of the family's 1533-position model. The record is from RNAcentral.
UACGGGGGGAGCAAGCGUUGUUCGGAUUUACUGGGCGUAAAGGGCGCGUAGGCGGCCAGCACAAGUCAGUUGUGACAUCUCCGAGCUUAACUCGGAAAGGUCAACUGAUACUGUGCGGCUAGAGUGCGGAAGGGGCAACUGGAAUUCUUGGUGUAGCGGUGAAAUGCGUAGAUAUCAAGAGGAACACCUGCGGCGAAGGCGGGUUGCUGGGCCGACACUGACGCUGAGGCGCGAAAGCCAGGGGAGCGAACGGG